UUUCCGUAGGUGAACCUGCGGAAGGAUCAUUAUUGUAUAACCGAGGUGCGAGGGCUGUCGCUGACCCGAAAGGUCGUGCACGCCCGAGUGCCCUCACACACAUCCAUCUCACCCCUAUGUGCACCACCGCGCGGGUCGCCCUUUGGCUUGUUCGGAGGGGGGCUUACGUUUUCACACAAACUUUGUAUGCAGUGUAGAAUGUAUUUUUUGUUUUUGCGAUCACGCAAUCAAUACAACUUUCAACAACGGAUCUCUUGGCUCUC
RNAcentral lists this unclassified non-coding RNA (263 nucleotides) under plant metagenome. RNAcentral's name for it is "partial contains small subunit ribosomal RNA, internal transcribed spacer 1, and 5.8S ribosomal RNA". The record is from RNAcentral.